Molecule: long non-coding RNA, 231 nt
Filed under: Glycine max (soybean)
Lineage: Eukaryota; Viridiplantae; Streptophyta; Magnoliopsida; Fabales; Fabaceae
Description: long non-coding RNA (GMAX_LNC002783)
Source: RNAcentral
CCGAGAGAACAAUCACCACACGUGUGCCACAGGAAGCCGUUAUGAUGGACGACUAACGUGGUUCACGUGUGGGACUUUGAAAUCCUCCAGCGUCCCCAACAAAGAGGCUGGAUGGAAUGGGUCUGACUAGCCACACGAAUACCGUUUGGUAGGUAGGCAACACAGGAACCAAUCGUCAGCACCUAAGCCACGAAGGCUAAGGUGACAAUGAAAAGGAUGCAUGUCACACGU